Molecule: ribosomal RNA, 294 nt
Filed under: Triticum aestivum (bread wheat)
Lineage: Eukaryota; Viridiplantae; Streptophyta; Magnoliopsida; Poales; Poaceae
Description: partial small subunit ribosomal RNA
Source: RNAcentral
AUGGCGAAGACAUGCCUGCCAGUGGCUGCGGCUGCCGUGCUUCUGCUCCUGAUGGUGGCGACGGCCCAGGGCAUCAGGCUGGACGCAGGGAGCAAGGCGGCGCUCGGCAACCCGGUGCUCAAUAAAUCCGUGGAGAAAGGGGUGGUGAUCAAGGCUGAUGAUGCUGAGCAGUCAUCGGGUGAAGGGGUAGAGGAGGCCAUAUCUGAAGACAAAGAGAGGGCAGGGGGGCACAGGAUGCCUGAGAUCCAUGUGGACUACUAUGGCCCCAGGGGCCAUAGCGCCAGGCACCACUGA